Non-coding RNA from Triticum aestivum (bread wheat), 135 nucleotides. NCBI's taxonomy places the organism in Eukaryota, Viridiplantae, Streptophyta, Magnoliopsida, Poales, Poaceae. The record is from Rfam.
UUAGUACUCCCUCCAUCCCAAAAUUAUUGUCUUAAAUUUGUCUAAAUACGGAUGUAUCUAGUUACAUUUUAGUGCUAAAUACAUCCGUAUCUAAACAAUUGUAAGACAAGAAUUUUGGGACGGAGGGAAUACUAC